Long non-coding RNA from Venturia canescens, 664 nucleotides. RefSeq lists it as uncharacterized. The transcript is spliced from 2 exons. NCBI's taxonomy places the organism in Eukaryota, Metazoa, Arthropoda, Insecta, Hymenoptera, Ichneumonidae. The record is from RefSeq and is a predicted model, not a curated record.
GGAGGUUGUAAGGGAUGUCCACUCUUGAAGCACCAGCCAGCAGGGAAAAUAUCCCUGGAAUCGUAUCGACACCAAUAAUCAAAAGCUCCUUUCCAGCCGUCGAAGAUACAAUUCCCAGUCAAAGGUCUGAUAAGUUUCGUACUGAAAGGGACCGCUAGAUGUGGACGGGGGAUGGGAAUUCACUGAUGGAUUGAUCGGGGAAGGAUUUAUUGGAAUUGGAGGUGUCGAAACUGUAGAAGUGGAGGAGAAGGUGGGAGUCAAGGAAGAAUUGCCAUUAGUGCUGGGUAUUCCGGAAGGUGCUGGAGAAGCUGCUGGGGAUGGUUGUUCCCCAGAAUCUGUCAAUACCCAGAACCAUAACUCUCAUUAUUAUUAGUAUUCAAGGCAGUCUAUCAGUUGUACAGUUGGUAUAAAUUAUGUUGCAUGUUCGGGGAAGCUUUACAUUGUAAUGAAAAUAUGAGUUACAUGCUAUUCUCCUUUUAUCAAAAAAGAAAAAUGUAAUUUUUAUUUUUCCCAAAAUAUCAAGGAUAUACAAGUAAAUCGUAUAUCUGUUUUUCAGUUAUCUUUCUCACACUCAAGCAUCUGAUAUAUUACUUUUGCAUAAUACUGGAGUAAUCUACAGUGAAAUUUUAGUGUCAUAAAAAUAAAUAAAUAUGUUGAAAAGUAA